CCUUAUUUCCCGAGCGUUGUCCGGAUUUAUUGGGCGUAAAGCGAGCGCAGGCGGUUAGAUAAGUCUGAAGUUAAAGGCUGUGGCUUAACCAUAGUACGCUUUGGAAACUGUUUAACUUGAGUGCAAGAGGGGAGAGUGGAAUUCCAUGUGUAGCGGUGAAAUGCGUAGAUAUAGGGAGGAACACCGGAGGGGAAAGCGACUAUCUGGCUUGAAACUGACGAUGAGGCUCGAAAGCGUGGGGAGCAAACAG
This 250-nucleotide ribosomal RNA is filed under the name uncultured prokaryote. RNAcentral describes it as "partial 16S rRNA". It matches the Rfam family "Bacterial small subunit ribosomal RNA", at positions 525 to 775 of the family's 1533-position model. The record is from RNAcentral.